Molecule: ribosomal RNA, 753 nt
Filed under: Maribacter dokdonensis
Lineage: Bacteria; Pseudomonadati; Bacteroidota; Flavobacteriia; Flavobacteriales; Flavobacteriaceae
Description: bacterial SSU rRNA
Rfam family: Bacterial small subunit ribosomal RNA
Source: RNAcentral
GGAAUUAUUGGGUUUAAAGGGUCCGUAGGCGGGCCGAUAAGUCAGGGGUGAAAGUCUGCCGCUCAACGGUAGAACUGCCUUUGAUACUGUCGGUCUUGAGUUAUAGUGAAGUUGCCGGAAUAUGUAGUGUAGCGGUGAAAUGCAUAGAUAUUACAUAGAACACCGAUUGCGAAGGCAGGUGACUAACUAUAUACUGACGCUGAUGGACGAAAGCGUGGGGAGCGAACAGGAUUAGAUACCCUGGUAGUCCACGCCGUAAACGAUGGAUACUAGCUGUCCGGGGCCUUGAGUCCUGGGCGGCCAAGCGAAAGUGAUAAGUAUCCCACCUGGGGAGUACGUUCGCAAGAAUGAAACUCAAAGGAAUUGACGGGGGCCCGCACAAGCGGUGGAGCAUGUGGUUUAAUUCGAUGAUACGCGAGGAACCUUACCAGGGCUUAAAUGCAUAUUGACAGGGUCAGAGAUGACUUUUCCUUCGGGCAAUUUGCAAGGUGCUGCAUGGUUGUCGUCAGCUCGUGCCGUGAGGUGUCAGGUUAAGUCCUAUAACGAGCGCAACCCCUACCGUUAGUUGCCAGCAUGUCAUGAUGGGGACUCUAACGGGACUGCCGGUGCAAACCGUGAGGAAGGUGGGGAUGACGUCAAAUCAUCACGGCCCUUACGUCCUGGGCCACACACGUGCUACAAUGGCAGGUACAGAGAGCAGCCACGUCGCAAGGCGGAGCGAAUCUAUAAAACCUGUCACAGUUCGGAUCGGGG